AAGUCGUAACAAGGUUUCCGUAGGUCAAGUUUAGCCUGCCACAGCGGGUCAACCUCAGCUAGUCUCCGCUUGGAGGCGAACACGCUCAACCUGUGGGAAGGCCCUGUCCCGGGAAAUCCAACAGCCCACUUCCCUUGCCCGGAAGUCGGUUUAGAGGCUCAAUGAGUCGUGGGUGCUGAAUCUCAGCGCUUGAGAUAGAGUCCGUCCCAGCUGGUAACCGCUGGGGGCGAACGGAAACCUGCGGAAGGAUCAUUACAGAAUUGACGGCUUUUGCGAAGCCUAGAUUCUCACCCCGUGUAUACACUAUUCUCUGUUGCUUUGGCAAGGCGCCUGGCGCCUGCCAGAGGGAAAACCCUUUGAAUCUCUGCAGUCUGAGCACGAUAAAAUAGUCAAAA
This 395-nucleotide unclassified non-coding RNA is filed under the name plant metagenome. RNAcentral describes it as "partial contains small subunit ribosomal RNA and internal transcribed spacer 1". The record is from RNAcentral.